This is a long non-coding RNA of Spinacia oleracea (spinach), 2009 nucleotides long. RefSeq lists it as uncharacterized. NCBI's taxonomy places the organism in Eukaryota, Viridiplantae, Streptophyta, Magnoliopsida, Caryophyllales, Amaranthaceae. The record is from RefSeq and is a predicted model, not a curated record. The transcript has 2 exons.
UGUAAAUGCACUCCGUAGAAACCAGUAGCAGUUUCUCGCUCUCUCCCUCACCUUCAUAACAAAACCACAACCAUCGCCAAUCGCAAGAAAAACUCAAUAAGGGGUGUAAGUGACAAUCUAUUAAAUCCUCUAAAAAUCAAUGAUGUGAAGAUGUUGAGGCGUUGUUCUCUCUCUUGAUAUUCCGUGUUAUGUCUUAUGCGUCUGAAUUGAGUGCUUCGAUCCGUCUGGAGUCAGGUUCUUUUUCACUCCUAUUUUCUUCAUUUUUUUCCAAUUAUAUGUAAUAUUACUCAAUAUUAAAUUAGAAUUGGGUUUAUUUUAUUUUAUUCUUUAAACUGAUUUUUUCCAAUUUGGGUUUUUUUUCUUGAGUACGAAGUGGUUGAUCCCCCCCCCCCUAGCAUAGAUAUUUUUCAAUUUCUUUUUUAAUUAAAUACAUGAUUGUAUUUUUCCUUCUUUAAGUUCAAUUUGAGUUUUUCUUGAUAAUUUAUUUUUUAAAGUAAUAGUAAUAGGCGUAGCAUGCAUCUUUUGCUUGAGUAGUUGAAUUUUAUAGUAUAUAGUUCAUUGAACUACACUUUAUCAAUUUCAAUUUAAUUACGAAAGAGAUUCAAGAGUAUAGUUUAUUGGAAGAGCAAGACAAGCCCUACAAUCCACCCAGCUACCAGAAACGUCAUUUUGAUACUCCAUGGAAGCGAAUCAUAUUCCUUAGGAGGAGCUUCAUGUUUCCUGGAUUCGCAACCUCUCCUAGGCUCCUAGCCCCUCUUCUCUCUUCAGAAACAAAGUACUACGUAUAUAGUAGUAGUAGUUGUGUAGGAAUAUUAAUUUUGUUUUUUCUUUGGCUUUGUUGCUUUAUCUUGAGGAAACUGCGUGAGGCAUAAGAGGAUUUAUAAACCUAUUUUAGAUGCAUGCCUGCAGUUUAACAAUAUUAUUACACUCCAUAAUAUUAAUGUCUUAGUUUUCCACUUUAAAUUAAUUAGAGCAUAUUAGAUAAACUCCAAUGGUUACAAAAUGGACCUGCACACACAAAAAAUGAACAUGUGAGCAGGUAGCCCACCAUUGGUACAACAAUGACAUAAGCAGCUGUUAAAACCUUGUAGCUAUUUUGGGCUACGUAGCUCAAACAAAAUAUAGUUCAAAAAAAUAAAUUAUUUAAAUUAAAUAUUAUAGGGAGCUAAAAGUAUUGUAGCCCACCAAUGUGAUAAUUUAUAGUUUUAAUCAGUUUUAGUUAGAAAUUUGAUGUGGCACAUAGCCACAACAUCUUGUAGCUCACCAUUGGAGUUGCUCUUAUAAUUUUGGUAUUUGAUCGUUUAACAUAUUUGAAAUUUUUGUGUAUGAGAACUCCAUGAAGUUCUUCUAGAACAAUUCAGAAUGACAAAACAUUUAUAAGGGCCAACCGACAAGGACAAGUUUCUUUUAUGGAUUUUCUUUCUUAUGUAAAAUUAUAAACACGAAUAACAUAUAAAUGGAAAAAAUUACCAUAACCAUAGAUGGAGUAAAAGUUGUAUAGAGGGUAUUACUUCAUAUAGCUCCUACUUAUAAAAACUUUCAAUUGAAUUUCCUUUGUAAUAUCUAUAGUGUUAAUUAAUCUGAUUUACGCAGCUUCACAUAUGCAGCCAUCUUUGAAAAGAAAGUUUGGGAGAGGUUGUUGCUACAAACUCACGCAAUCUUAAGGGGUAAUUCUAUGACUCGCUACAAUUAAAUUAUACUUGUAACGUAUUGCAUUAUCUUGAUUUGAAGAAGCUAAUAACUAAAUCUGUCAUUACCACAAGAAUAAAAGAAAUAUGCUUGUUAGUUGUUAGUGUACAAAAGGUUAAUACUUCCAAUUGAAGAAGUCCUUCUGAAGCCAAGACAACGCAUCAUCCUCAAUGCAAAUAACAUAAAUAGCAAACAAAGUAUAUUUGCUUCUCCUUGUAAAUAUUUGUGUAUAUAGUUGUAUUGUUACUAUUUUGUUAGUACUUUGUUGUUUGAAAUGUUAAUAACACGUUUCAUGGUGAUUCUUAAAUUUUAAAAAUAAA